This 254-nucleotide ribosomal RNA is filed under the name uncultured bacterium. RNAcentral describes it as "partial 16S ribosomal RNA". It matches the Rfam family "Bacterial small subunit ribosomal RNA", at positions 524 to 776 of the family's 1533-position model. The record is from RNAcentral.
UACGAAGGGUGCAAGCGUUAUUCGGAAUCACUGGGCUUAAAGCGCGUGUAGGCGGGACGGCACGUCGGUCGCUGAAAUCCCCCGGCUUAACCGGGGAACUGGCGUCGAUACGACCGCCCUGGAGGGGCGUAGGGGGACCUGGAACUUCCGGUGGAGCGGUGAAAUGCGUUGAGAUCGGAAGGAACGCCCGUGGCGAAAGCGAGGUCCUGGACGCCUACUGACGCUGAGACGCGAAAGCCAGGGGAGCGAACGGG